GGUUAAUAUGUUGAUAUGCCUAGGCUGUUUUGCAGGCGCCAGGCAGGCCGCCUUUGGAAUUGGAUGAGCAUUUGAGGUGCCACAAGCGAUGACGGCCGCAGCGUCCGACACCAGAAUCAGUGCGGAGCAGGUGAUGAAGAGGAACUUGCCGACUGCAGGAAUGUCCUGGUUUGCUGAUGCAGCUUCUCUUGAGGAUGGAUUCAGACCCCUGGCCCUCUGAAAGCUGAAGGACCACUGCACUACAGUGUGUAAUUUUGACUUCGGUUGGAAAGAAACGUUCCAAAGCGGGAAUCUUCCUCGUUCAAAGAAGUUGCAUUUUAGGAACUUCCUAUCAGAGUGAAUCUUCAGAGAUGUCGUGUUGCAAGUGUCUUGUGAUGCUCAGCAGAUCCCCCCCAGCCCAGCUUUGCCGGCCGGUCGUUAAGCGUACUGAUGAGGCUGUGCUGAAGACGCAGUUGUCCGUUCCUCCCCUGGGGAUGCCAUGGACUGCACCUGCCUCAGGCUUGCGUGGGUUGUCUCUGCCUGGCCUUGCUCCGCUCGUGGCGUGGGGGCGAAAAGGGACAGGCAGAACACGUACUGGCUGCAGACAGGAGCUGCCGUGGCUGAAGCUGCGGAGGCCAGAGAAAGAGGCAGCGCUGAGGCCUCAGUUGUGGGUUCCUCUGCGGGGACGUUGUGGACUGCAUCUGGCUCAGGUUUGGGUGGGUUGCCUUUGGCCUCGUUCUCCGAGCGGCAUGGGCGACAAGGGACAGCUGGAGCGCUUACUGGCUGUGGGCAGGAGCUGCCGCGGCUGAAGCUGGAUGGGCCAGAAAAAGGUAAAGCAGCUGAAGAAUAAAAUAAGGGGGAUCCUCCAGCUGCAGACAGGGGACAGCCUGCCUCGCUGGGUGAGGAAGGAUCCCUCUUAGUGUAGUCCUCAGCAGAUCCCAUCACCAGUGUGCACCGCAGGGUCUGUGUGCGUAACCAAAAGCACAGUGCAGCUGUGCAGUGUGAGCGCGU
Gymnogyps californianus (California condor) is the source of this 990-nucleotide long non-coding RNA. RefSeq lists it as uncharacterized. NCBI's taxonomy places the organism in Eukaryota, Metazoa, Chordata, Aves, Accipitriformes, Cathartidae. The transcript is spliced from 6 exons. The record is from RefSeq and is a predicted model, not a curated record.